AUAGCCUAAUGUCAUCAAAAGACUAGAUAGGGACGGAUAUUUACCUUUUUCUUUUUGGAAAUCGAGGUCCUUGCGUAGAGGGAAAGGAGAUCUACACUUUUUCCUUCAGCUGGCAGCGCAACCGGGAUCUCCUUCCUCUUCCUUUCUUCCUUUCCUUUCCUCUUCCUUUCUUCCUUUCCUUUCCUCUCCUUCUUUUUCUUCCUCUCUGUCCGUCUGAGACUCCCUCUGUGUCUCUCUCUCGGUUUCCAUCCAAAAGCCACAGCAAACCCCCUAAUUAAAUCACAUCAAAACACUAUUCACCCUUUGUUUAAUAUUAUUAAAUUUUCAUUUUGCCCCUAACACUUCAACAUAUCUACCGUUAUGCCAUUAACUU
RNAcentral lists this long non-coding RNA (373 nucleotides) under Phoenix dactylifera (date palm). RNAcentral's name for it is "long non-coding RNA (PDAC_LNC010075)". Lineage: Eukaryota; Viridiplantae; Streptophyta; Magnoliopsida; Arecales; Arecaceae. The record is from RNAcentral.